This 1534-nucleotide long non-coding RNA is filed under the name Mus pahari (shrew mouse). RNAcentral's name for it is "lncRNA (MGP_PahariEiJ_G0006294.1)". The record is from RNAcentral. Lineage: Eukaryota; Metazoa; Chordata; Mammalia; Rodentia; Muridae.
AAACAUCCAGCCAGUGCCUUUGUGGCCUCUUGGGCUGGGUUGCAAUCUCUUGCCAACCGGCUUGCCGGUUGUCAGGAGGCCUCUGGGGAGGACGCUGUAGGAGCCUCAAAUGCCACCUACUCCCCGGCCUCUCUCCCAGUUGAUGUUUCUAUUUUGGGCACCACAUUAUUUCCUGCUGUGAUUUUUUUUUUUCAGGCUUCUAAUUCGGGCUCUGAGGAAUGGGAGUCGAACGUCUCCAUGUCUGAAGUCUGUUUAACUCUGUUUGGACAAUGACCCUUGAGAGAUGUGAUGAAGGCUACACAGAAUCCCAGAAACUGUCCACAACAAACUCACAAGAAGAUUCCUGGUAAUUUUAGGUUUGUGCACUUCCUUGAGUUGGGGGGCCCUUUCUCAAAGCCCUGGGUAUGCAUGGAUGCCUCCCUCCCUGAUCUCCCCUCUCUACCUUGGUGUGCCUCACUAUAUUUAAUCAAUGUGUGCUUAAAAAGAAGUCUCUGUAUGUGCAAGUACUUCAAGCAGAGGCAGAUGAUAAGCUAUGUCCUUAGGGCAACAACAGCCUCCUAAAACUGUCUUCUGGUUUACUACCAGGGACCUGCUGACCAUCUGGCAGUGAGGGCACCCACUGCACUGGGCUCUGGCAGACUUAGGUUCUGAACUCAAUUAAGUGGACUCUGUUUUUUGUUUUUCCCGACUUCUCUCUCAACAGCAGACAAAAUGGUAAAGCUCCCGGGAGCCUCACCCAUCCCAGUCCAUGGGGGUGACUUCAGCCGAGACUCCUAGCAGUGACGAUAUGGAGCCUGUUGUGCUUGUAGACAGGAGUCUAGCGUAACUGUCCUCUGAGAGCUACCGCAGCUGACUGAAACAGAUGCCGAGACCCAGAGCCAAACAUUAGAUGGAGCUUGGGGACUCUGUGGAAGGAUUACAGGCCCUGAAGGAAAUAGGAACUCUACAAGAAGACCAACAGUCAACUAACCUGGACCACUAGGGGCUCCCAGAGACUGAACCAUCAACCAAAGAGCAUACACAGGCUGGACCUAUGCCUCCCUGCACAUAUGUAGAGAUGUGUAGUUUGGUCUUCAUGUGGAUCUCCCAACAACUGGAGCGUGGGCUGUCCCUGAAUCUGCUGCCUGCCUGUGGAUCCUGCUCCUCUAACUGGGCUGCCUUGACUGCCUCAGUGGGAAAGGAUGUGCCUAGCCCUGCAAAGACUCGAUGUACCAGGAUUGGGGGAUACCCGGGGAGGGGUCGGGGGGCUCCAUCUUCUCAGAGAAGGGGAUGGGGGAGAUGGAGAGAGGGACUGUGUGAAGGGGGUAUGGGGAGAGGGGAGCAGCAAUUAGGAUGUAAAGUGAAUAAAUAUAUAUAUAAGUGAAUAAGUAGGAAAAAUGAUCAAGUUCCUCACAUGGCUGAGAGUGAAAGAGGCAGCAUCUUUUAAACGGUCUUGGUCACUGGAGGUCUUUUUUUGCUUUUGAAUCACAUGCACCUUGGCUGCUGUUGCCUUUAAGAACAUGAAACAUCCAAUAAAAUUUGUUUUUUAAAUCUU